UGUCCCUGGAGCAGUGGGAGCUGCCGCUGGCCCCAGGCACUGUCCUGUGAGGAGCUGCUGAAGGACGCUGAGACUGAGGGGGCUGAGGAGGCGCUGAUGCUGAAGGGACCUUGCAAACCUUGAGCUGUCCUGAAGAGCUUGAGGACAGGCAGACACUGAGAGGAGCCAGCAGGGAGAAGCUGAAGGCCUGGAGCAAGAGCAGUGAGCAGGGAUGUGCUGGGGCCACGCGAGAGCCUGGAUGUCCCAUCUGCUGUCCCUGUCCAGGAGAGCUGCUCUGCGUGGGAGGAAAAGACUGAGGGAGAGGCUUUGAAGAUGGGGCGGCUGGGAUCCGUCUGAUGAUUGCUUUGCUUAGAGAUGGAUGGCCUUGCACAUAGACAGGGAUAAUGACGUGAAUAUUUACAUGUGUGUGUGUUGCUAAUUUGUAUAGGAAUGUUUCUGUACCUCUGUCGUUAUAUCUAAGGAUGUAUUGUAUGUAUAUAUAUGUCCAUAUAUGUUUGUAAUUCUAUAUAUGGUCAUAUAUGUAGCUAAGUAUACAAGUUUGGUGUUAGAACUCUCUUUAGUUCUAUUUCCUGUGUACAGAGUUGUAUAGGUACCUAUUUCUAUUGAUGUGGUUGUAGGUCUAUGGCUGUUUAAAUAGGUUGAUUGGUAUUUCUAUAGGAAGAUACAUCUAUUUUUACAUGUACAUUUAUCUAUUUCUAAAUAGAUCUCUUUUUACAUGUGUAUCCAGAUUUAUAGAUGUAUAUUUGUACUGAUGCAGUUGUAUGGAUAUUUAGAUUGGGACAGUGACAUUUGUAUCUUUUCAAAUAGUUUUGUUUUAUAUAUCUAUAUGUAUAUAUAUUGUAUGAAAUAUGUAAUAUUUAAUCUGUAUUUCCAUCUGUAGAUUGUUAUAUAUGUAUAUAUAGAGGUAUUUAGUUCUAUUUAAACAUGUAUGAAGUGGUAUAGUUGUAUAAUUCUAUCUAUCGAAUUCUUAGUACAGGGUUAUUUAGAGGGAGACUGAUAUUUUUGUAUUUCUAUAUGGGCUGUAAGCUUGUAGUAAUCUGUAAUAAAUUAAGUUGUUAAACACCUCAUUGAUCGUUGUCUAUAGUGACUUGUAGAGGUUAGCAAUAAGUGAAGUUUUUGCUAACUGAAGUUGGUAUUUGUAUAUUUUUACGUGGCAUUGUUGUGCUAAUAUAAUAAAUGACUUUUUUUCAACUUAAUGGAGAUUUUGAUAGUUGUGUAUUGUCAGCGCAGGUGUAGCAAUUUGUAAUAAAUGACAUUUUUCAACUGAAA
Molecule: non-coding RNA, 1269 nt
Organism: Cyanistes caeruleus (blue tit)
Lineage: Eukaryota; Metazoa; Chordata; Aves; Passeriformes; Paridae
Source: RefSeq, a predicted model, not a curated record